This is a long non-coding RNA of Heterocephalus glaber (naked mole-rat), 987 nucleotides long. The record is from Ensembl. NCBI's taxonomy places the organism in Eukaryota, Metazoa, Chordata, Mammalia, Rodentia, Bathyergidae.
GAGGCAGAGACAAAGAGAAGGGGACAGGAGAGGUGUCAAGAAUAUUGCCAAGGUUUGCUGCUUAAGCAACUGGAAGGCGGACUAAGAGUUUUAUCUGAACUCCUGCCCCAAACAUCUUAAUUCCCUAAAAUCACUGGAACGGCACAACAGUCCUGAACUGUCCAGACAGCUGCAUGGAGCUGUCAUCCACCCUUCCCUGGAGAGUGUCUAAUCUCCUGCCUAAACUUGUGCCCUGAUCACGCCCCCCUGAAUCUGUGCACAGGGGACUUAGUCCGGCUCUCUGCUCAGAACAAUGUGCGGCCACAACCUGCUUGCCGUCCCUGCCAGGAGCAGCAAUGUGUUCUCCACUCUCCUCUGACGAGGCUUUUGGCAGCCUGAGCUGUCUUUCUGGCUCUCACUGUGGAGCCCACACCCAGGGCUCUAAGAGGCUGGCCUGAUUGUUAUUCUGGAACACUGAGGUCAUUCAGAAGCCCCCUGCAGCUCUGUUAGCCCAAGUGGGCCGGCCAACCAUAUUCUGUCUGGCCCCCAGGCCAGGCCAUGGAUUUAUUUUGGAUCAGAAAUGCUGGUCUCAGAAGACUCCAGGGAGACUCGGAGUACAGGGAUUUGCUGGGUGCCAGGGCAGGUGGCAUUCCAAGCUGGUGGGACCCAGUCGGACUGGUUGGUGAAUCUACGUAUAGGAAAUGGAAACACAGAGGCUGCACCUUUGGAAGUGUGACUGGAAGACUUAACUGGGAAUUCAUAAGUUACAUAUUUAGUUCCACUCACUGAACUCAGCAUAUGAUCAAUGACAUUGAUUUUGUGGUGCUGGGGAUUGAACCCAGAGCUUUAUGCAUGCUAAACAAGUAGUCUAUGACUAAGGUAUAUCCCUGGGCUCUAUAUGCAUCCAUUAUUAGUCAAUAAAUAAACAAUAACAAUAUUAGCAGUCAAUGAAUUUGUCACCACCAGUAUGAACUAUUAAUAUUUUUAUGUCAUCUCACAGUGUUGCAG